UAUAAUACAAACAAAGGUGGUGCAGUAUUCUAGUCGGCACUAUCGAUCACCAGGGCGGGCCUAAAAAUCCGUCGAAGGGCAUAUCGAUGAAGUCCCUUGUUCCUGCUUUCGACGCCCAGUCGAGGGUUCUUUCAGGGGGUUAAGGAGGAUGGGGCGAUCUGCAAUGGCAUGCAGGCGUAGACCCUGCCUCCGUGGAGACCGGCUUUUGCCGGGAAAACCUGCCAACGUGCCCCAGGCUGUAGUGGCCUGAAGGUUCUGACGCAGUGUAGCCUGCCUUGAGUGGCUUGGGUGGAUGGUCUGACAGUUUCAUACGGUUCAGGGCCCGAACGUUAUGAAAUAAUGCGGCCGAAACCCAAUCUGCAAAAGAGGCUAAGGGUCGAUGGGUGCCGCCGGGGAAAACCCCUAGGCUGCUCAAUCGUGUCAUUCGUAUAAGAGGCACAGUGGGGAUUAUAGUGCACACUUAGUGGUAAUUCAGUCCCACG
RNAcentral lists this unclassified non-coding RNA (482 nucleotides) under Eubacterium barkeri. The record is from RNAcentral. Lineage: Bacteria; Bacillati; Bacillota; Clostridia; Eubacteriales; Eubacteriaceae.